This 481-nucleotide ribosomal RNA is filed under the name Shigella sonnei. RNAcentral's name for it is "bacterial SSU rRNA". It matches the Rfam family "Bacterial small subunit ribosomal RNA", at positions 98 to 575 of the family's 1533-position model. Lineage: Bacteria; Pseudomonadati; Pseudomonadota; Gammaproteobacteria; Enterobacterales; Enterobacteriaceae. The record is from RNAcentral.
GCGGACGGGUGAGUAAUGUCUGGGAAACUGCCUGAUGGAGGGGGAUAACUACUGGAAACGGUAGCUAAUACCGCAUAACGUCGCAAGACCAAAGAGGGGGACCUUCGGGCCUCUUGCCAUCGGAUGUGCCCAGAUGGGAUUAGCUAGUAGGUGGGGUAACGGCUCACCUAGGCGACGAUCCCUAGCUGGUCUGAGAGGAUGACCAGCCACACUGGAACUGAGACACGGUCCAGACUCCUACGGGAGGCAGCAGUGGGGAAUAUUGCACAAUGGGCGCAAGCCUGAUGCAGCCAUGCCGCGUGUAUGAAGAAGGCCUUCGGGUUGUAAAGUACUUUCAGCGGGGAGGAAGGGAGUAAAGUUAAUACCUUUGCUCAUUGACGUUACCCGCAGAAGAAGCACCGGCUAACUCCGUGCCAGCAGCCGCGGUAAUACGGAGGGUGCAAGCGUUAAUCGGAAUUACUGGGCGUAAAGCGCACGCAGG